CGUAGGCGGUUCCCAACCCCACUGUAUGGUCCGCGUCACGCCAGAUUUUGAAGAACUGCUUGAACAGAGGGGUCUCCCCAUUCUCAGGUCGAGGAUAAAGAUGUCUCCCUGGUUGAAGCUGUCCCAACUGACUGCUACCUCUGUGGCUCGAACCACACGCCGACCCCUGACCUGGAGCAUACGCUGCACCUUAACCUCAUUGGACACCACAUGCUUGAACCCUGAAGCCACACCCCCUUUCUAAGGUAAAGAUUGGGAAGAUAAUCAGUAAGUGGAAAUACCCGGCCAUGGAGCUGGGUUGAACACCGCACCCGGACUAGGCACCGGCGCAGAGGAAGGCUCCGGCCUUGGAGCGGGACUGGACGCCGUGCCUGGACCUCGGCACAGAGGAAGGCUCCGGCCUUGGAGCGGGACUGGACGCCGUGCCUGGACUGGGCACCGGCGCAGAGGGAGUCUCCUGCCAUGGAGCGGGACUGGACGCCGUGCCUGGACUGGGCACCGGCGCAGAAGGAGUCUCCUGCCAUGGAGCGGGACUGGACGCCGUGCCUGGACUGGGCACCGGCGCAGAGGGAGUCUCCUGCCAUGGAGCGGGACUGGACGCCGUGCCUGGACUGGGCACCGGCGCAGAAGGAGUCUCCUGCCAUGGAGCGGGACUGGACGCCGUGCCUGACUGGGCACCGGCGCAGAGGGAGUCUCCUGCCAUGGAGCGGGACUGGACACCGUGCCUGGACUGGGCACAGGCGCAGAGGGAGUCUCCUGCCAUGGAGCGGGACUGGACGCCGUGCCUGGACUGGGCACCUGCGCAGAGGGAGUCUCCUGCCAUGGAGCGGGACUGGACACCGUGCCUGGAAGCUCCAGACCGUUGACCCUCGCUGGAGGUUCCCGGAACGUUGACCGUCGUAGGAGGUUCCGGACUGUGAACCGCGCCGAAAGCUCUGGACUGUGAACCGUAGCCGGAAGCUCUGGACUGUGAACCGUAGCCGGAAGCUCUGGACUGUGAACCGUAGCCGGAAGCUCUGGACUGUGAACCGUAGCCGGAAACUCUGGACUGUGAACCGUAGCCGGAAACUCUGGACUGUGAACCGUAGCCGGAAGCUCUGGACUGUGAACCGUAGCCGGAAGCUCUGGACUGUGAACCGUAGCCGGAAACUCUGGACUGUGAACCGUAGCCGGAAGCUCUGGACUGUGAACAGUCGCCGGAAGCUCUGGACUGUGAACAGUCGCCGGAAGCUCUGGACUGUGGACUGUCGCCGGAAGCCUGGUGCGUGGAGCCGGCACACGUGGCACUGGACCGGUGACACACACUUCAGGGCGAGUGCGGGGAGCAGGCACAGGCCGUACCGGGCUGGGGAGGUGCACUGGUGGCCUGGUGCUUGGAGCUGGCACAGAUGGUACCGGGCUGAGAUGGUGCCCCUCAGCACGCCUGCGCUGCAGCAUACUCCUUGCCAAAACCUCUCUCCGGUGUCUCUCAUUACCUUCCUCUAUCAACUCCCACACAGGCUCUGGCACUCUCUGCUGCUUGACCGCUAGCUCCGCCGACCACCCAUCGUGUCCCCACCCCCCAAAAACAUAUUUGGGUUGUCCUUGGGCUUUCUGUGGGUGCGAACCCUGGCGUCGUCGCGGUCCUCCCUUUUUUCCUUCCGUCUGCCGCCAAGGAAGGAUUUCACAUCCUCUCAAGUCCAAAACCUCCUCACCUCAUGUUCACGCUGCUUGGUCCUUUGUUGGUGGGAUCUUCUGUCACGGUUGUGUGGAGAGACGGACCAAGGCGCAGCGUGAUUAAAGUUCCACAUACUUAUUUACACAAAACUUCCAAACAAAAAGAAACAAACAACGAACCGUGACAUCUGAGGUGCCAGAUGCACUAACUCAAAACAAGAUCCCACAAAACACAGUGGGGCUGCCUAAAUAUGAUCCCCAAUCAGAGACAACGAUAAACAGCUGCCUCUGAUUGGGAACCAUACCAGGCCAACAUAGAAAUAAAACAACCUAGAUUACCCACCCUAGUCACACCCCGACCUAACCAAAAUAGAGAAUAAAAAGGCUCUCUAUGGUCAGGGCGUGACAGUUGCUCUAUGUUUAUAAUAAAAACAAUGUUUGUUGUGCUUUACUCUAGCAUUGAACAGGUUAGGUAGCCGUUUUCUACUUAUCAUAUUGCAUAUAAUAUACUGUAUAUGUUAAAUUUUAGAAUAUGGUAGAUUCCAUCAUGUAAUACGACAUUUACCAAAACAUGUAUUUAUGGUUUCAGCAUAUACUGUACAAAUUGAUAACUUAAAAAUACAUUUGAUUUGCUAAAGGUACAUUGACUCUUCCCUAAUCCACUUUAUUCUCCCAGUCUUUAUUUCUACAUUUAGUUAACCUCAAAUGAUACAACAGGUUUGGGUUGUCUUUUUAAUCAUAAUAUAUGGUAUUGUCUUGCCUCACAGAUAUCAUGAUAUACAAUAAAAAUACAGAAUGAACUGAUUUAUUUUCCAUCACUGUGGCUUGUCCAAAAUCCAAUAUAUACCACAUACACAAACAGACACACUCCUUCUUCUGACUAUAAGGUGAUAUGGCCACACUGCUAUGAAAAACAUACUGUAUAUU
This is a long non-coding RNA of Oncorhynchus nerka (sockeye salmon), 2583 nucleotides long. RefSeq lists it as uncharacterized. The record is from RefSeq and is a predicted model, not a curated record. NCBI's taxonomy places the organism in Eukaryota, Metazoa, Chordata, Actinopteri, Salmoniformes, Salmonidae. The transcript is spliced from 3 exons.